Molecule: ribosomal RNA, 320 nt
Filed under: uncultured bacterium
Lineage: Bacteria
Description: bacterial SSU rRNA
Rfam family: Bacterial small subunit ribosomal RNA
Source: RNAcentral
GACGAACGCUGGCGGCGUGCUUAACACAUGCAAGUCGAGCGAGGCCCCUCCUUCGGGAGGGUGUCCUAGCGGCGAACGGGUGAGUAACACGUGGGCAACCUGCCCCUAGCUCUGGGAUAACUCCGGGAAACCGGGGCGUAAUACCGGAUACGACCUCGGACGGCAUCUUCCGAGGUGGAAAGUUUUCGGCUAGGAUGGCCCGCGGCCUAUCAGCUUGUUGGUGGGGUAAUGGCCUACCAAGGCGACGACGGGUAGCCGGCCUGAGAGGGCGACCGGCCACACUGGGACUGAGACACGGCCCAGACUCCUACGGGAGGCAG